RNAcentral lists this ribosomal RNA (443 nucleotides) under uncultured rumen bacterium. Its description in RNAcentral is "bacterial SSU rRNA". It matches the Rfam family "Bacterial small subunit ribosomal RNA", at positions 948 to 1392 of the family's 1533-position model. The record is from RNAcentral.
AAUUCGAUUAACGCGAAGAACCUUACCUGGUCUGGACAUCCUACUGAAUAGUUAUGUAAUGUAAUUAGUCUUCGGACAGUAGAGGCAGGUGGUGCAUGGUUGUCGUCAGCUCGUGCCGUGAGGUGUUGGGUUAAGUCCCGCAACGAGCGCAACCCCUACCGUCUGUUGCCAGCGCGUCAAGGCGGGCACUCAGGCGGAACUGCCGGCGACAAGCCGGAGGAAGGCGGGGACGACGUCAAGUCAUCAUGGCCCUUAUGUCCAGGGCUACACACGUGCUGCAAUGGCCGCCACAGAGCGGAGCGAAGCGGCGACGCGGAGCGAAGCGCAAAAAAGCGGCCUCAGUCCGGAUCGGAGUCUGAAACCCGACUCCGUGAAGUUGGAAUCGCUAGUAAUCGCGCAUCAGCACGGCGCGGUGAAUACGUUCCCGGGUCUUGUACACACCG